AUUGAACGCUGGCGGCAGGCCUAACACAUGCAAGUCGAGCGGUAGCACAGGAGAGCUUGCUCUCUGGGUGACGAGCGGCGGACGGGUGAGUAAUGUCUGGGAAACUGCCUGAUGGAGGGGGAUAACUACUGGAAACGGUAGCUAAUACCGCAUAACGUCUUCGGACCAAAGUGGGGGACCUUCGGGCCUCACGCCAUCAGAUGUGCCCAGAUGGGAUUAGCUAGUAGGUGGGGUAAUGGCUCACCUAGGCGACGAUCCCUAGCUGGUCUGAGAGGAUGACCAGCCACACUGGAACUGAGACACGGUCCAGACUCCUACGGGAGGCAGCAGUGGGGAAUAUUGCACAAUGGGCGCAAGCCUGAUGCAGCCAUGCCGCGUGUGUGAAGAAGGCCUUCGGGUUGUAAAGCACUUUCAGCGAGGAGGAAGGGUAGUGUGUUAAUAGCACAUUGCAUUGACGUUACUCGCAGAAGAAGCACCGGCUAACUCCGUGCCAGCAGCCGCGGUAAUACGGAGGGUGCAAGCGUUAAUCGGAAUUACUGGGCGUAAAGCGCACGCAGGCGGUUUGUUAAGUCAGAUGUGAAAUCCCCGCGCUUAACGUGGGAACUGCAUUUGAAACUGGCAAGCUAGAGUCUUGUAGAGGGGGGUAGAAUUCCAGGUGUAGCGGUGAAAUGCGUAGAGAUCUGGAGGAAUACCGGUGGCGAAGGCGGCCCCCUGGACAAAGACUGACGCUCAGUGCGAAAGCGUGGGGAGCAAACAGG
RNAcentral lists this ribosomal RNA (758 nucleotides) under uncultured Enterobacteriaceae bacterium. RNAcentral's name for it is "bacterial SSU rRNA". It matches the Rfam family "Bacterial small subunit ribosomal RNA", at positions 28 to 776 of the family's 1533-position model. The record is from RNAcentral. Lineage: Bacteria; Pseudomonadati; Pseudomonadota; Gammaproteobacteria; Enterobacterales; Enterobacteriaceae.